RNAcentral lists this unclassified non-coding RNA (347 nucleotides) under uncultured fungus. RNAcentral's name for it is "partial contains 5.8S ribosomal RNA and internal transcribed spacer 2". The stretch from base 1 to 133 matches the Rfam family "5.8S ribosomal RNA", at positions 22 to 154 of the family's 154-position model. The record is from RNAcentral. Lineage: Eukaryota; Fungi.
UGGUUCUGGCAUCGAUGAAGAACGCAGCGAAAUGCGAUAAGUAAUGUGAAUUGCAGAAUUCAGUGAAUCAUCGAAUCUUUGAACGCACAUUGCGCCCAUUAGUAUUCUAGUGGGCAUGCCUGUUCGAGCGUCAUUUCAACCCUUAAGCCUCUGUUGCUUAGCGUUGAGAGCCUACAGUUUUUAGAACUAUAGCUCUCUAAAGUUAGUGGCGGAGUCGGUUUACACACUCUAGACGUAGUAAAAAAAUUAUUCUAUCUCGUUUUAUAGUGAGUACCGGUCUCCUUUGCCGUAAAACCCCCCCUAAUUUAUAGAAGGUUGACCUCGGAUCAGGUAGGAAUACCCGCUGA